GAGCGAAUGGAUUGAGAGCUUGCUCUCAAGAAGUUAGCGGCGGACGGGUGAGUAACACGUGGGUAACCUGCCCAUAAGACUGGGAUAACUCCGGGAAACCGGGGCUAAUACCGGAUAAUAUUUUGAACUGCAUGGUUCGAAAUUGAAAGGCGGCUUCGGCUGUCACUUAUGGAUGGACCCGCGUCGCAUUAGCUAGUUGGUGAGGUAACGGCUCACCAAGGCAACGAUGCGUAGCCGACCUGAGAGGGUGAUCGGCCACACUGGGACUGAGACACGGCCCAGACUCCUACGGGAGGCAGCAGUAGGGAAUCUUCCGCAAUGGACGAAAGUCUGACGGAGCAACGCCGCGUGAGUGAUGAAGGCUUUCGGGUCGUAAAACUCUGUUGUUAGGGAAGAACAAGUGCUAGUUGAAUAAGCUGGCACCUUGACGGUACCUAACCAGAAAGCCACGGCUAACUACGUGCCAGCAGCCGCGGUAAUACGUAGGUGGCAAGCGUUAUCCGGAAUUAUUGGGCGUAAAGCGCGCGCAGGUGGUUUCUUAAGUCUGAUGUGAAAGCCCACGGCUCAAC
RNAcentral lists this ribosomal RNA (569 nucleotides) under Bacillus thuringiensis. RNAcentral describes it as "bacterial SSU rRNA". It matches the Rfam family "Bacterial small subunit ribosomal RNA", at positions 64 to 613 of the family's 1533-position model. The record is from RNAcentral. Lineage: Bacteria; Bacillati; Bacillota; Bacilli; Caryophanales; Bacillaceae.